Mercenaria mercenaria is the source of this 1877-nucleotide long non-coding RNA. RefSeq lists it as uncharacterized. The record is from RefSeq and is a predicted model, not a curated record. The transcript has 4 exons. NCBI's taxonomy places the organism in Eukaryota, Metazoa, Mollusca, Bivalvia, Venerida, Veneridae.
UACUUGAUAUAGGUCAUUGUCAAUGUCAACUAUCAUUAUACUGACAUUUGAAGUUGUUGUUUUUUUCUAAAUUACCUCCCUUAUAUAUGCAUUUUUCUUCAUUCAUUUUAUUGAUAAUUACUUCCCUUUAUGUUUAGCAAAAAUUCUCAGAUUGCAUUUAAUUAACUCCCUUUAUUUAACAUGAAAAAUUCUCUUGUGUAAUGAUUAUUUGUAUAUUUUACUUACAGUGUCUGAUACAUGUAGUUGCAGUCUGUCUUUGGAAGCUGUAGAAAUAACAAGAAAGAGGCUGACAUAGUGUUUUGGUAGGGAAAAGUUUGAGUAUGUACAUGUACAGUUGUUUGACCUGUCUUACCCUGUGGCAGUCCAAGAAGAUGUUACCAUUAUGAAAAAUGCAGGAGAACUUGAAGACAAUGGUUAGUGUAGAAGGGACAUAAAAGUUAUGGCAAAAGUAACAGAUAUAAAUAAGAAGUGCUACAAGUGUGUUGUCAUGUGAAAUAGAAUUUACCCCAACUGUGCUGCAAGAUGUAUUCAAGUGCAAGACAGCCAUGCACCAGCUGUAAACUGAGAUGGACCCAUAUAAUAAAUAUGUUGACUUUUCUAUGUAUUAUCAUCUGUACAGAAUGUGUUCAUGACAAGACUGUAUACAUAUAUUGUUAAAUCAUUUUUUUAUUUCCAUUAUUGCAUGCAUGUAAGAAGCAAGCAUUUAACAAUUGCAUUCAUAGAAGUGUUAAAAUGUGAUCAAUUUAAUUCAAAGAAACACAUUUAAUUGGACUUUUUAAGUUUCAUAGUAUUUGUGGUGGAGACUGACCCAGUCAUUCAGCAACUUAUACUGUCUGUGUGUCAUUUCUUGUAUGUUAUAGUUUUCUUAAUAAUACAUUAAAUGUCAAAGUUAUGGUCAGAUGAACUCAUUCAUCACUUGUAGAUUAAUGUUAAAGCAGUUCAACAUUUAACCAUAAGUUAACUAAUAUUCUAUUUAACCAGAGUUGUCACAUAUUUUCAUAUAAAUAUUUGUAUAAUACAGUCUAAUCUAUUCUACAUAUGAUGUUCCACAAUUUUUUAGUUAUAUUUUAUGUUGAUAUUUUAUGUUGUUUUCAUGUCUCAACAUAUAAUUACUAACAUCAAAGAAACUUAAGUAUUUUACAAUUUGGUUGGUAUAAAUGGUUGUUUUGUUUAUAUAUUUUAUUUUUUUCCAUCCAGGAGGAUAAAGAAAUAUACAUUUCAAAAUAUCUCAUCAUUCCAGAUAAGUACACUACAUAAUCAAGAUAAAAGAAAUAAGAACAAAAUAUGUUGGUGGAAUUUUAUUUUCAAAAAUUUGAUAUACAGUCUUUGUAGUAUUUACUUCUUUAGAUAUGUUGGACUGAAAUGGGAAUAACAACAUACUUUAAAUUUUUGUAGUCAUAAGUUAAUAUGGGAAUUAUUAACUUAACUUAAAAAUAUUUUAUCUCACUGUUAUGCCAUCUGAGCUUUAAUAUUUUUCAGCAUUGUCAUUGGCAACAAGGCUCAAAAUUAUUUGUUGUAUAUACCUUGCAUUCAUGUGUGAUAAAUGCUUUUAUGGUAUUCUUUAAUAUAAUUUAUGCUUUUCAUCUUACCAUGGAUUAAAAAAAUAUAAAUUUAUUUGUCUGAAAAUUAAGGUAAAAAUACUGACUGAUUAAAUUGCAAUAUAAGAAAGCUUAUUUGAGAUAAAGGGAGGUAAUUCCAUAAAAAAUAUGUAGAAUGUAGAUGAUAAAUGUAAUGAAGGGAGGUAAUAAAAUAUUGUGAAGUUAUUAGUCUUCAUUUCUUUGAUGAGCUAAUUAAUUGUUUUACAUUUUGGUUUAUUAACUACAAGUAUGACCUAACAUGUGUACCUGUCCUGAAGGAAAAUAAAAUAGGUUGUUUGA